CGCUGCCCGGGCCUCAGCUUGCUCGGGCCAGGCCCGGAAACCUUUGGCAAGCCUCCUUCACCUGUGGAGAGUGGGUGAGGAAACUUCUCAGUGUUGGGUUUUUGGGUUUUUUUCCUGUGAGACAAUGCAGCUCUCAACAUUUGGAGACUCUCGCCUUUUGUCCUCGCUGGGGACACACGAAAUGGAGCCCUCAGGUAACUGCCGGGUGGGACAGCUGGAUUCUGCCGAGUUCUGCUGACAGUAUCUUGUUCAGGGAUUUUAAAGCCACUGGCAACAUGUAGGGGGUGCACAUGCACCCCGAGACUGGUGGUGCGCCCCCUGCGAAAAGGCGCCCCAGAUAGUGUCGGCUGCUGCUUGCCACCUCCCCUUGCCACUGACACUGCUGGUGGCGUCUGCGGGUAAUCCACAAUUGCCACUGGCCGCUGCCACCAGCGUCUGCAGGUGGUUGCCGACCACUGGUUGGCGCUUGCCACCCUCCUCCCCGCCGCUUACAGUGCUGCCUCUGGGAGCUCACUAUGCCUCCCCAGCCUCCCGGGGCAUGCAGUGUUCAUGCUUAAAGCCAUCCUGUCAAAGGUGACAGCUCAUCUUGACAUGUUCCUUUUAGCUCACUGAGUGAGUGACCGUCAGGACUUGUUAUAACUAAUCCACAAAUAAUAAAGCAGUGCUCCCUGUGAGUUCUCCCCGUUCUCCUGCCACUGGAUCCCCUCCCCCGCCGCCCAGCACAUCCGUUCAUCCUUUCUCCCAACACAGGGGUGUUCAACUGGCUCUGGCCCUUGGAGCUAGGGCUUCCCAGGGGGUUGGAAAUUUGGUGGUAGUGGCAGCAUUAACUGCUGCUCCCCUGUGCCAAAUUUCUGGGACUUGUGAGGAGCCUGCAGGCUGGAUAGCGUGGUUCUGAAGUGUGCUAGAUCAGGUGCACAGGGCUAGGCUGGCACUGGGCACUGGAGCCUGAUCUUGGCAUCAACCCUGCAAGGCAUCUCGCCCGCAGACCAGCUUCAGGCCACUCAUCUGGCCCACAGGGCCAAAAAGUCAUCCAUCACUACCCUUGGACACUUUCAUUCAUUGAUUAUCUCAGAGCCAGGCUCCCUUUCUGCCCAGGCCCCCGCCUGCUCAGCCUGUCUGCACCGACAUUGCUCAUGCUCACCUGCGAGCUGCUCAGUGGUACUGGGCUAUGGUGCUGUGCCUCCCAGCUCUGUUCCAAAAUCAACAGGAGGGGGAGAGGCUGACAAGCAGGGAACCCUCUGCCUGACCUGCCAAAUGGUUUUCCUCUUCACCCAACAUUGGAUAAAGGAGCAUUCCUUAGGGGCUGCAAGUCAAAGAGUCUGAGGAAAAACUUUCUGGUCAGCACAUUACACCCCAGCCUCCUGCUACGUGCAGUAGUCUGCCUUAAUGCUGGGCCGCAGCUGGGUAUCACCCUUUAUAGCUAGCCUUAGGGAGCACUCUAGGGAAUGGUAGCUAAACAAGACUAGGAACAGAAAGAGGAUGAGAGACCUUGAGAAACAGGGGAAGUAUGACAGGUAUUAACAGAGAGAAGUGAGAGCUUGAGGGGGCUGGAGUAAGGAGGGUCAUUGUGAGUUUCUGAGAAAAUGUAGGGGAAAAGGGAUAUUAGGAAAGGCACUGUGAGAUGGGGACAGCUUGAAGGGGUAUGUGCAAAGCAGAUAUCUAGGGAAGCAGAAAGACCAGCAAGAAUUGGCUGGGGGACUUUCAAGAAAUACAGGAUUAGAGAAUUAGAGGGUUGAUGGAGAAAAGUGGCAAGGAAAACAGAAGAAAACAGGGCUGGCAGAGACCAGGGGGACUGUGGGGCUUUAGGGAACUGGUGCUUAUGGCAGGGAGGAUGGGGGCUUUGUGGGGAAAAGAAACAGCGGGUUAUAGAAGAAUAUUGAGGAUACACGUCAAAUUACAUUACUAGGGACAAUAGUUUCUCCUGAAAGAUUGUAUUUAUAUUCUGGAGAAAGAGGGUAAGCCUAUAGACACAAUGAGAACUGGUAUCCCAAAAGGUAGUCCAGGUCCAAACAACCAGGCUACCAUGUUCCAUCUACAUAAAGUGGGAGGCACACCACCAGUCUCUUAAAGCCCAGCAGGUGUGGCAGGGCUGUCACAGAAAACUACUAGUUACCUCCUCAGCAGGGAAGAGUUGUAUCACAGACAGCUGAUUUGAGACAGACCUUUACAAAUAAAUCCCAGGCUAGGAAGUGGCUGAAUUUUCCUUCCACUGACGGCAUUAGAAGCAGACCUCUGCUAUUCAUCCUAACAAACUACUGCUGGUCAUUGUGGUGGGAAGCAUUUUCAAUGUAGCGAUCUGAAGAUCUACACUGUUGGGAAUCCCACCAAUGCAAGGGCAGAGACCUCCCCCCCAAUAAAAACAACAGAAAUGCUUAUUUUAAACCGUGUUGUCUGUCUUAUUUAGAUGUUACUGGGGUCCGCCGAAAUCUGUGCUAGAGUUGCUGUUGGGAGAAUGGAGUAGACACAUAGGUUCUUCACGUUCCCAAUUUCAAUAGUACAGUAUACUAAUAUUGUCACAAGUUGUUGUUUUUUGAAGUAGUGCCCAGAUUUUGUAGAGUACAGGCAGUCCUCCGACUUAGAACACAAUCGGUUCCUGAAAA
This is a long non-coding RNA of Gavialis gangeticus (Gharial), 2600 nucleotides long. RefSeq lists it as uncharacterized. The record is from RefSeq and is a predicted model, not a curated record. The transcript has 2 exons. Lineage: Eukaryota; Metazoa; Chordata; Crocodylia; Gavialidae.